RNAcentral lists this ribosomal RNA (653 nucleotides) under Streptomyces sp. PC5059. RNAcentral's name for it is "bacterial SSU rRNA". It matches the Rfam family "Bacterial small subunit ribosomal RNA", at positions 87 to 753 of the family's 1533-position model. Lineage: Bacteria; Bacillati; Actinomycetota; Actinomycetes; Kitasatosporales; Streptomycetaceae. The record is from RNAcentral.
GUGGAUUAGUGGCGAACGGGUGAGUAACACGUGGGCAAUCUGCCCUGCACUCUGGGACAAGCCCUGGAAACGGGGUCUAAUACCGGAUACUGACCAUCUUGGGCAUCCUUGAUGGUGGAAAGCUCCGGCGGUGCAGGAUGAGCCCGCGGCCUAUCAGCUAGUUGGUGAGGUAAUGGCUCACCAAGGCGACGACGGGUAGCCGGCCUGAGAGGGCGACCGGCCACACUGGGACUGAGACACGGCCCAGACUCCUACGGGAGGCAGCAGUGGGGAAUAUUGCACAAUGGGCGAAAGCCUGAUGCAGCGACGCCGCGUGAGGGAUGACGGCCUUCGGGUUGUAAACCUCUUUCAGCAGGGAAGAAGCGAAAGUGACGGUACCUGCAGAAGAAGCGCCGGCUAACUACGUGCCAGCAGCCGCGGUAAUACGUAGGGCGCGAGCGUUGUCCGGAAUUAUUGGGCGUAAAGAGCUCGUAGGCGGCUUGUCACGUCGGUUGUGAAAGCCCGGGGCUUAACCCCGGGUCUGCAGUCGAUACGGGCAGGCUAGAGUUCGGUAGGGGAGAUCGGAAUUCCUGGUGUAGCGGUGAAAUGCGCAGAUAUCAGGAGGAACACCGGUGGCGAAGGCGGAUCUCUGGGCCGAUACUGACGCUGAGGAG